Cinara cedri is the source of this 221-nucleotide non-coding RNA. Lineage: Eukaryota; Metazoa; Arthropoda; Insecta; Hemiptera; Aphididae. The record is from the annotation of a GenBank genome assembly.
CGGACAAUUUCUUCUGGGAAAAUUUUUCGAAUGCGUCCGCGAGAAACGAUUUUUUACCAAACCGUAUUGGCGGUAUUAUUUUCUCCGUUGUUCGUCGUCCUGGAAAUCCGCCCCUGUUCGGUCUCGAUUAAAUCAUAAAUUAUUUAAACGAUCCGUCCUCAGCAACGGCUUAACGAUAAUUAAUGUUUAUAGGUACCUACCGGCGGCGUGGUGUCGCUUGC